GGUCUAAAUAUUUAUAGCGCCCCUUCCUAAAAUGCGGUUACAUAAACACCAUUUGAUGAGAUAAAUAACUGCCAUUGAGUUAAUUUCAUCAAGGAGGGACAUACUUCUUCCUAAGAUUCAAAAUCUGAAUGCAAAUCCUUCUAUAUGAAGCAGACUGAUCCUGAUACAACACGGGAUCAUACACCGAUGAGGAUACAUCUAUCUAUACACCAUUGAAGACCAUUAUGUGCAAGUUGCAACAACAAUGACAAGAGAGAAUGAAUAUGUAUGUAAGUGCUUUCAUAAUGUAGCACUUUGAGCUCUGCAGGGAGAGCAAAAGCCCCAGAUUGACUUUGCUGAAGCAAAUACUUCAACUUCCUUGGAGCAGAAGAAUGAUGUUGUAGAGAGUUAAAAUAAUUCUAGAUUUUCAGGCAGAGGUGUGCAUACUGUAUAGAAGGUCUUCAAAGCAAUUACUUUCUGCCCUUGCUCUUUCCUGACUAAUCCUUAGUAAGCCAUCUACGGCCACGAACUUGGAUACCACCGUAGCUCUGAUCACUGCUACUUUCUCCACCACUUUCUGCACUGGUAUAUCCAGAUUUCCGACGAUGCUUCUUCUUCCUUGAAGCUCCACUGUCACUAAUGCUUCCAUGUAAAAGGGGAUCAUCUAUCCCACGUAUGACCCUCCGUGUUGGAGAUGAAGUUGCAAUGCAACUGUCAUCCUUCGUUCGCUUCUCUUUCUCAUGCUUCUUUAUGUUCUGAGAGAUUUCAUGUAAUUUUUGUAUUCCUUUCUCUACAGGUUCUACUGCUUGGGUUACUGUGAAUUUCAGGUCAUUCACUAUAUAUUCACCACCUCCAAUAAAUAUAUCUUUAACAUUUUCUCUUAUGGUUGUUCCACCCCCGUCAUCAAUGUCCGGUUGAGGAAGACGUAAUUUGGUGCGACGUUCACUAUCUCUAACCUCUUCAGGAUCUACUGCCAAAUCAGCAGAUACAUAAUCUCCAAGUACUGCAACAUCCCCAGUAAAACACUCUCCCAUCAGCUCGUAUGGCUUGGCAGGGAAGACAUAGAGGUGAACCACAGAAGCAAUGCCCAUCUCAAUGCAUAUGAUGAAAUCUUGAAUGCUGGACUUAAACUGUAAAGCUUGAGCUAUUGGACUUUUAAGGAAACCAAGUGUCGAAAGCAGGGCUAUUGCCAGGCCUUGCCACCAAGUUAAGAAAACAAUUGACUUGAAAGUUAAAAACUUGUACAGCGGCUUGAUGUGAGAUAAUUCAUCCUUUGUAAUAGUAUAAAACUGAACUAGGCAAUACAAUGCCCAUGAUUGACUGAAAUUUAAAACCACAGCCAUAUAAGGAUACCCACACUUCCAUUUGAAGUCUC
Molecule: unclassified non-coding RNA, 1354 nt
Filed under: Hevea brasiliensis (rubber tree)
Lineage: Eukaryota; Viridiplantae; Streptophyta; Magnoliopsida; Malpighiales; Euphorbiaceae
Source: RNAcentral